Molecule: ribosomal RNA, 494 nt
Filed under: uncultured bacterium
Lineage: Bacteria
Description: partial 16S ribosomal RNA
Rfam family: Bacterial small subunit ribosomal RNA
Source: RNAcentral
GACGAACGCUGGCGGCGUGCCUAAUACAUGCAAGUAGAACGCUGAGGGGGGAGCUUGCUUCUCUGGAUGAGUUGCGCACGGGUGAGUAAAACGUAGGUAACAUGCCUGUAAAAGGGGGGUAACACUUGGAAACGAUAGCUAAUAUCGCAUAAUAGUUGAUGUUGCAUAACAUUUACUAGAAAGAUGCAAUUGCAUCGCUACCAGUUGGUCCUGCGUUGUAUUAGCUAGUUGGUGGGGUAACGGCUCACCAAGGCGACGAUGCAUAGCCGACCUGAGAGGGUGAUCGGCCACACUGGAACUGAGACACGGCCCAGACUCCUACGGGAGGCAGCAGUAGGGAAUCUUCGGCAAUGGGCGGAAGUCUGACGGAGCAACGCCGCGUGAGUGAAGAAGGUUUUCGGAUCGUAAAGCUCUGUUGUAAGAGAAGAACGAAUGUGUGAGUAGAAAGGUCAGUCUGGAACGGAAUCUAACCAGAAAGGAACGGCUAACUACGU